ACUGCCCAACAUGGGCACCUGCUCUCUGGAUAUCUGACUCCAGCAGGCGUCAUUUCCCACCACAGCGAUCACAGGAGUCUGGCAGAGAAAUUACUGGGGGAAAAAACAACGACAACUUCCUCCCACUAUAACGUAAUAAGAAAAGAAUCACUUUCUGAAUGCAUCAUCACCUCAGACAGCGAAGCCCUCCACCUUAUGCCUGGUGAAGGUGUCAAAUUCUGCAACGCUGUAGCCAAGGGAACCGUCACCGUACACAAUCCACACCUGUA
This is a long non-coding RNA of Alosa alosa (allis shad), 269 nucleotides long. RefSeq lists it as uncharacterized. Lineage: Eukaryota; Metazoa; Chordata; Actinopteri; Clupeiformes; Clupeidae. The transcript is spliced from 3 exons. The record is from RefSeq and is a predicted model, not a curated record.